CUGGGAGAGGGUUGUUUACUCCU
This 23-nucleotide non-coding RNA is filed under the name Mus musculus (house mouse). The record is from RNAcentral. RNAcentral also lists the same sequence under 1 other name. Lineage: Eukaryota; Metazoa; Chordata; Mammalia; Rodentia; Muridae.